ACCAUGCGGCAUUGACAAUCUGAGUGCUUCAUUUUAUACACGUAUACUUUCACAGACAUAAGAGCACGUUGUGUAUCAAAAAAUUGUGAAAUGGAGGCUCGUUGUACGUUGUGUACC
RNAcentral lists this microRNA precursor (117 nucleotides) under Oryza sativa (Asian cultivated rice). Its description in RNAcentral is "miR5491 stem-loop (osa-MIR5491)". Lineage: Eukaryota; Viridiplantae; Streptophyta; Magnoliopsida; Poales; Poaceae. The record is from miRBase by way of RNAcentral.